GACGAACGCUGGCGGCGUGCCUAACACAUGCAAGUCGAACGGUCAAGCGCCUUCCUUUUUUGUGGGUGUGGAUGAGUGGCGGACGGGUGAGUAACUCGUGAGUAACCCGCCCCGUCCUGCUGAAUAACCGCAUGAAAGUGUUGCUAAUACGGGAUAUUCUGGAUCGGUCGCAUCAUGGGUCUGGGAAAGUUUUUGUUUCGGUGGUGGAUGGGCUCGCGCACUAUCAGCUUGUUGGUAUGGUGAUGGCCUACCAAGGCGAUGACGAGUAGCCGGCCUGAGAGGGUGGACGAUCACACUGGGACUGAGACACCGCCAAGACUCCGACGGGAGGCAGCAGUGAAGCAUAUGGAACGAUGGGAGGAAGGACGAAGCAGCGACGCGGCGUGGAGGAUGGAGGCCUGCGGGUUGUGCUCCUCUUUCGCGAGAGAAGCAGGGCUGCCUCGUUUGUGGAUGGGUUGACGGUACCUGGAUAAGAAGCCCCGGCUAACUACGUG
RNAcentral lists this ribosomal RNA (494 nucleotides) under uncultured bacterium. RNAcentral's name for it is "partial 16S ribosomal RNA". It matches the Rfam family "Bacterial small subunit ribosomal RNA", at positions 28 to 507 of the family's 1533-position model. The record is from RNAcentral.